CCCUGUCAGUCCCCGCCGGCUCGCGAGCGCGUCCACGCAGGCACACGCCGCCCCCGCCCCGCCCCGGGUGGAAGGGUUCUUGCAAAGCGCGGCCCCCUCGGAGGAGCAACAGGAGCCGGCGCCGGGGGCGGGCAGCGCCGCUGUCUGAGCUCCCUCUGCUGCGGGAGGGAAGGGAGCGAGACCAACAAUGACGGCCAGUGUCGCUGUCAACAGUGAACCGGGACGGGAAUCAGAGGGAGCAGCCCAGCGAGCCGCCGCAGCCCGCGCCCCUCGCAGCCGGGCCGUGCGGGGAGCCCGCAGGAAGGGCUGCGUCGUGGCGCCGCGAGUCUGGUUGUCGCUGCCAUUCAGCGAGAUCCAGGUGGGGCGCCCACCCCAGCCGCAGAUUUGCUGCCCAGAACCCCCUUUUCAAGACCUCGCCAAGUCAGCCCGCUCCGCAGGGUCCCAAUUCAAGACGGAAAACUGCACCUGGAGAUCUAAACCCUAGUUCCGCACAGCUCUACGGAUCGAGCGCCUCCGCUUCCUCCCCUGUGAACUGGCUCCCCUUGAAGGAGGUGGACAGGGUAAUCCUGAGGCCCUUCCAGCGCAAAUCCCAGGAUCCUACCUACUGGGCAAAACUAAAUCCAGAAAUCCCUCCGUUUAACCACAGGGUCUGCAGACCUGGCUCCCUGCGCACUGGCACCUCAGGCUAGACAAGGCCAGUGAGUGCAUGUGCAUUGUUCUCUCUCACCAUGAUGAAUGGAUAAAGCAGCUAUUGAGGGCACAGGCAGGAGAAAACUGGGUGGUGAGUCUCCCCAGAGCUCCUAGGCCAGCAAAGAAGGGCAGGUGACCCUGACACUGACAUUGUAGUUCAGGGAAGGAUGUCUCCAUGGAGCUGGAGGCACUGGGGAGGGUGGCAGACAUGGUUGGUUCCCUAGAUCCACUCUCUUCUUUUCCCUUCCUAUCAGAACUGCAAUGCGUUCAAUUUAAACUACCGAUUUCCCAGACUCCUUUGCAAUGAGGGGUGUCCAUAUGACCCAACUCUGGCCAAGGAGAUGGGAACAGAACUGUCCUGAGUGAGAAUUCUAAGGAAGACACAGUAGUAUGUACCUUUUGCCUUUGACUUUUUUUCUCCCUGCUCCUCCCCCUCCUCCUCCUCCUUCUCCUCUUAUUUCUCGGAAACAUGGAUGUGAUGCCUGGAGGGGAAGCAGCCAUCUCGCAACCAGGAAGAAAGAAGUCUCCUACUAAGGAGGUCGGACAGGCGGCCAUCAACGACAUCUGAAUGACUUCAUUGUGGAGUUCUGGCUUCAUGAGAAAAUUCAGCUCCUAUUACAUACAUGUGCAGUAGCUCAUUAUCUGUUCCGUGCAGUUAGCACAGCCCUACCUGAUACGAUUGAGGGCCCAGCUGGGAGGACAGCAUUUCAUCCUGAGAAAGCCCCUCCCCCGGAAGACCUCCCUGCCAGGCACAGCCCCACGGGCACAGGCUGGCACAGCCAGCAUGUCAAGGACACACACUCCACCAGCUCUCCUCUUGGAGUGGGUCCUGCAUGGCCCUUCCCUUCGCUACCUUGAUGCCAAGCCUUAAUUGGGGGGAAGGGAAGAAAGCAGAGGCCGCCAUAGUGGGAAAGUUGGAAAUAAAAUCUCGCUCUGCCUUCCCCCCAGGAAAAAAACAAGCCAUGACAAAGCCUGGAUGAGGUUUGUUUUGAAGUGAAAAAUCCACGCCAGUUCCAUUAGUUUGGAAAACCAGUUGCUGCCUGAAUAACUGAAACCUGUCCUAUAGGUGUGAACUGUCACCUCAAGGUGCUGGCGUCUAAUUGUGAGCACACGUCGGCCAGAGCUGCUGGUUCUCCAGACUGGAGCACGUGACGCCUCCCCCCCAGCCCUUCCACUCUGACAAUAUGCCACCAUUGCCACUCCCAGUGAUGCCCCUGGGAGAACGCCAAGCGAUGCUGCCCUUCGGAGAUAAUGGCGUUGGAAAUGCAAUGCUAAUGGCUCCCCAGACAAGACCAGAAUAGCCUCGCCUCGUGUUCUGCCUUCCUGGCGCACAGAGGCCGCCGCCUGUGAGCACCGCAGGCGCCUCACGCCCGCCCUCCCCGAGUGCCCGGAGCCAGCUUCAUGGCGAGAGCCACCUGUUCAUCAUCAUAGCAUUUUGUCCAACCCGCUGGAUGGGCUCAGAACAGAGGUGCAGCUGAGUGUGGGAGCCGGGAGAACCUGCAGCCCAGCAGGCACCUCCAUUCAGACUAUAAACUCGCUUUGCAAGUUGAUCAUCACCCACGAACUGGGCCAUGUUUGCCAUGCAGUUAAGAUGGAUUUUUAUUUUCUUCUGCACCCCAGCUCCCACCCCCACCCAGAGCCUGAGCUGGUGUUUAAGAAAACAAUAAAAAUGACGUGGGCUGGUGGACUGUUGACCUUCUUUAUAUGGAAGUCACGUGAAGGCUGCAGACCAACUGCCAGGGGCAAGAGGAACGUCCCUGCACUUCUCCCAGGAGGCCUGGCGUCCCUGCGCUGCGCCUGGCGUCCCGGGGCUGCGCCUGGCCUGCCUUGGGAAGGGGACUCAAUUCUGAUGACAGUGGGCAUUCAAGAAGGAUGCUGGGCAGGACUUGUAUCCAAGCUGAGGUGUGGCUGGUGGAGUCGAUGGGUAUCAAGCUCGCUCUUCUGGCCAUUCGCUGGAAUAGCCGUGGACGCACCCUCUCCCUGGCACAUUGUUAGAACCCACAACUGUCCUCCCACGUUGGACUCACAACUUCCUGCUUUAGCCCUGGGAGGAGGGCUGCACCGUUUAGCCCGGGAAUCAACCGAUUGCCUACUCUCAGAUGAUUUUGUAAUACCACCUCUGGGCAGCCAGCUGCUCAGCAAGGCAGAGCGCCUGCUGGAGAGAGACUGGGUGGAGGCGACCCUGACGCCUUGGAUGUCCCGUCCCAGCUGGGACUGAAGGCAGCCCCUGGAGUGAGCCGACCACAGACCUCUCAGCCACCUGCCCGGCUCCUACUCCUCGGACCAGGAGAGCAUCGCGAGGUGGUGCUUUAAACACCAACCGGGGAGCAUUUUGUUUGCAGCAACAGAUGGCUAACAGGAGGCGAUGGGGCCAGCCAUGAGCCAGAUGCUCCAGAGGUGGGGCCUGCGCAUCAGCAUUUUAACAGGCCCCGCUGCCCCUGAGAGGGGACCGAUUGGCUCAGUCCCGUGACCCGUUCUCGGCCCAGGCGGACCAGAGCGAGGCCUCCCGAGAAUGGGUCCGGCCGCUUUCCCUUCCCACUCACCUCUCAGGGUGUCUGUCUCCUACUGAGGCGUGAGAAUCACAUGCUGCCUGAACUCAUGGAAAACAUUUUAAAAUAUUAACUAAGCUGUGGCCCUGUGAGUGCUGAUUAUUCAUGUCCUGAUGAAGGUAAACAGGUGAAAAGCGUCCAAGGCAAGAGGUGGGACUGAUCAGGGACAUCUUCCGGGGGGAGCUGGCCUGGAGCAGGAGGCUGGGCCUGGGGGAGGCCCCGGGCUGCAAGGAGGUGGGCUGGCGGGAAGGCUGGUCUGGCUGGCAGGUUCAGAAAGUCCUGCUGGGGAGGAACAGGGUUUUGAAGUUUCCGUUCAGCCUCCAUUUUUCUUCUCUGGUUCUCCCACCAGCAGAGGGAGAGAGGACUGGCUGGUGCCCAGGUUCCAGGGCCUGUGACAGGCUCCCUCCGGCCCCGCUGCCGGCCCCGCUGUGCUGAUGAGAAAGCUGACCGGGGCCUGGAGAGGGCAGCCCCGGAGCCAAACCAGCAAGACCCAGGGCUUCCAAACCUCACAGCCCAGCCAGCCCCCGCCCCUGUCAUUAGAGCAGGCCUCAGAGACCCCACCCAGCUGUAGCUCCCGUUCUCUCCUAAGGACCCCUGUGCGAGAGGCGCACACUUUGUGCUCCCAGCUGCCCUUGCUGAGGACCGAACAAGAGAAGGGGUGUGGCUUGUAGCAGGAGAGGUCAGCCAGGCAGAGGGAAGACCUCCCGGGUCCCAUGGGCAAAAUGAGCGACGCUGGCCAAUUUAUUCCUCUGGCAAACAUUUCUUGCUCAGCGAGAGGUGACGAUGCUGCCUGCAGCGUCCAGGCCAAAGACAGCUUCUCUGGAGAGGCAGGAGGGGGCAUGACGGUGGAGCCCGUGCCGCUGGUCCUGAGCAGACUCCCCGCUUCCUGGCCUGUGAGGAGCACUGACGAGCUCACAGAAGUCACCCCUUUUCAUCUGCACCACAGCCCCAGGCGCAGAGCCUGGUGUCCCCAAUUCAGAGACAAGGCACCGGAGCCUGGAGAGCUGAGCCGCUUCCCCAGGUGGCUCAGCUGGUCAUGGUGGAACCAGGGCUGAAGUCUGGGUGCAAGACAGGUACUUGGUGGGUGUUGUUUGGGGAAGAUGGACCUCGCCCAUGCUUUCAGAAGUUCUGCACCCCGGGCCUCUUCCCAUGAGCAAUUGUGCUCCGGGGGCUCCCCCCUGCCUGUCCUGUGACUCAGGACCCUCCACAGUCCUGGCCACCCCGCCCCUGCCUGGGGGGGGCCGCCGCCCUGGCACCCACCCUCCUCUGUGUGUCUCUCUGCACACUGGCACCAUUAACCAGGACGGGCAGAAAACUGUUUGCUUUGUCCAGCGAUCCGUUUCGCCAGCCAGAGAGGUGUUUUUCCACUCCGAAGAGGCCGUUUCUCUUCCUCUCCCGUCGUGCACUUCCUGCUUCGUGCCUGGUGAGAUGAUGUUUCUGUCUGUAAUAACGGAAGAGUGUCUGGGGCUGGUAAGAAACAGGGCGCAGCUGGGAACAUCUCUGGCAUCAUAAUUAUUGUCAUCACUUAAGAGCUGCUAAGUGGACCUGAGUGCCUGCUGCAGACGUGGCCGAGCAGGGAGAGAACAAAGUCCAGAAAGAUGGAGCGAGCUUCCUGCCUCCAGGAUGCCUGGAUGCACAUCUCCGCCAGCGCGCCCAACGCCCGGAGCCUGGCGCGCACGGGCA
Molecule: RNA transcript, 4922 nt
Organism: Myotis myotis
Lineage: Eukaryota; Metazoa; Chordata; Mammalia; Chiroptera; Vespertilionidae
Exons: 7
Source: RefSeq, a predicted model, not a curated record